GGUUGUGGCUCAGUGGUAGAGUGCUCGCCUAGCACAUGCGAAGCCCUGGGUUCAAUCCUCAGCACCA
This 67-nucleotide transfer RNA is filed under the name Marmota monax (woodchuck). RNAcentral's name for it is "tRNA.Ala". The record is from RNAcentral. Lineage: Eukaryota; Metazoa; Chordata; Mammalia; Rodentia; Sciuridae.